UACGUAGGGUGCGAGCGUUAAUCGGAAUUACUGGGCGUAAAGUGUGCGCAGGCGGCCGAGCAAGUCGAGUGUGAAAGCCCCGGGCUUAACUUGGGAAUUGCGCUCGAAACUACUUGGCUGGAGUGUGGCAGAGGAAGGUGGAAUUCCAGGUGUAGCGGUGAAAUGCGUAGAGAUCAGGAAGAACACCCGUGGCGAAGGCGGCUCUCUGGAACGCAACUGACGCUGAGACGCGAAAGCGUGGGGAGCAAACAGG
RNAcentral lists this ribosomal RNA (253 nucleotides) under uncultured bacterium. RNAcentral's name for it is "partial 16S ribosomal RNA". It matches the Rfam family "Bacterial small subunit ribosomal RNA", at positions 524 to 776 of the family's 1533-position model. The record is from RNAcentral.